This 1396-nucleotide ribosomal RNA is filed under the name metagenome. RNAcentral describes it as "bacterial SSU rRNA". It matches the Rfam family "Bacterial small subunit ribosomal RNA". The record is from RNAcentral.
GGUGAGUAAUGUCUGGGAAGCUGCCUGAUGGAGGGGGAUAACUACUGGAAACGGUAGCUAAUACCGCAUAAUGUCGCAAGACCAAAGAGGGGGACCUUCGGGCCUCUUGCCAUCGGAUGUGCCCAGAUGGGAUUAGCUUGUUGGUGGGGUAACGGCUCACCAAGGCGACGAUCCCUAGCUGGUCUGAGAGGAUGACCAGCCACACUGGAACUGAGACACGGUCCAGACUCCUACGGGAGGCAGCAGUGGGGAAUAUUGCACAAUGGGCGCAAGCCUGAUGCAGCCAUGCCGCGUGUAUGAAGAAGGCCUUCGGGUUGUAAAGUACUUUCAGCGGGGAGGAAGGGAGUAAAGUUAAUACCUUUGCUCAUUGACGUUACCCGCAGAAGAAGCACCGGCUAACUCCGUGCCAGCAGCCGCGGUAAUACGGAGGGUGCAAGCGUUAAUCGGAAUUACUGGGCGUAAAGCGCACGCAGGCGGUUUGUUAAGUCAGAUGUGAAAUCCCCGGGCUCAACCUGGGAACUGCAUCUGAUACUGGCAAGCUUGAGUCUCGUAGAGGGGGGUAGAAUUCCAGGUGUAGCGGUGAAACGCGUAGAGAUCUGGAGGAAUACCGGUGGCGAAGGCGGCCCCCUGGACGAAGACUGACGCUCAGGUGCGAAAGCGUGGGGAGCAAACAGGAUUAGAUACCCUGGUAGUCCACGCCGUAAACGAUGUCGACUUGGAGGUUGUGCCCUUGAGGCGUGGCUUCCGGAGCUAACGCGUUAAGUCGACCGCCUGGGGAGUACGGCCGCAAGGUUAAAACUCAAAUGAAUUGACGGGGGCCCGCACAAGCGGUGGAGCAUGUGGUUUAAUUCGAUGCAACGCGAAGAACCUUACCUGGUCUUGACAUCCACGGAAGUUUUCAGAGAUGAGAAUGUGCCUUCGGGAACCGUGAGACAGGUGCUGCAUGGCUGUCGUCAGCUCGUGUUGUGAAAUGUUGGGUUAAGUCCCGCAACGAGCGCAACCCUUAUCCUUUGUUGCCAGCGGUCCGGCCGGGAACUCAAAGGAGACUGCCAGUGAUAAACUGGAGGAAGGUGGGGAUGACGUCAAGUCAUCAUGGCCCUUACGACCAGGGCUACACACGUGCUGCAAUGGCGCAUACAAAGAGAAGCGACCUCGCGAGAGCAAGCGGACCUCAUAAAGUGCGUCGUAGUCCGGAUUGGAGUCUGCAACUCGACUCCAUGAAGUCGGAAUCGCUAGUAAUCGUGGAUCAGAAUGCCACGGUGAAUACGUUCCCGGGCCUUGUACACACCGCCCGUCACACCAUGGGAGUGGGUUGCAAAAGAAGUAGGUAGCUUAACCUUCGGGAGGGCGCUUACCACUUUGUGAUUCAUGACUGGGGUGAAGUCGUAACAAGGUA